RNAcentral lists this unclassified non-coding RNA (1918 nucleotides) under uncultured fungus. Its description in RNAcentral is "sequence contains 18S rRNA gene, ITS1, 5.8S rRNA gene, ITS2, 28S rRNA gene". The stretch from base 788 to 1918 matches the Rfam family "Eukaryotic large subunit ribosomal RNA", at positions 1 to 961 of the family's 3401-position model. The record is from RNAcentral. Lineage: Eukaryota; Fungi.
GGAAGGAUCAUUAACACUCGAUGUUAAAAAUCCACCUUACCCAUGUGAACUUGUUGAACGUACCUUGCACCGGAUAGUCAGCGAAAAAAAGUCUUUCCUUUUGAUUUGAGGGAUCUCUAAAGGUCUAUUCCUUUAUUGACUGCCCCCUUGUGAAGAGGGAUUGAUUUGGCUAUCUGGGUAUUUUUCGCAUCAACCAUCUUUUUAACCCCUUAAAAUUUAACUGAAACUCUGAAGUCUAGUCUUAUGGUAUUCAUUUACUAUUCGACAUGACAGAAGAAAAAAUGACAACUUUUGGCAGUGGAUAUCUUGGCUCUUGCAUCGAUGAAGAACGCAGCAAACUGCGAUAACUAAUGUGGAUCGCAGAAACCUGUGAAUCAUCAAGACUUUGAACGCACAUUGCGGCUGCCAGUGGGUUCGCCUGCUGGUAGCCAUGUCUGUUUCAGAAUUGGUAUUUCACUAUCAAAGACCAUCUUUAAUCGGAUGGGCUUUGGAGAUGAGGGUGAUUUUCUCAAAGCUGUAGUUAAAGGAAUCACAUUCCUAGAAUGAUCCAUUAGAUCCCGUAAGGCUUCUAGUGAGGAUUUCUUUGAAACAUUUUCUUUUAGCAGGCAUCAGAGACUCUCCCUUUAAUUCGAUUCAGCCUUUGAAGAGCUUCUCUUCAGCGAACUUUCGAGAAUAUUAAGUAAUAUUCAAAGAAAGGGACCUCUAUGGGAUCUAAGCGUUGACUCAAUCGCUGGUUUUUUUGUUGAGAUUUUGUUCAAAAUCUCAGCCGUUUGUUUCAUUUACCAUCUUAUCUGAAAUCAGGCAUGAUUACCCGCUGAACUUAAGCAUAUUACUAAGCGGAGGAAAAGAAACUAACUAGGAUUCCCUCAGUAGCAGCGAGCGAACAGGGAAGAGCUCAAAGUUAAAAUCCGGGGCAACCUGGAGUUGUACUUUUGAGAGACGUUUCUGUGGUUUCCCGAGGUAUAAGUUCCAGUUGAAUGGGACCUCAAAGAGGGUGAAAAGCCCGUAUUUGGCCUCAUGGAGACCGUUCCAGUACGUCAUCAGAGAGUCGGGUUGUUUGGGAUUGCAACCCUAAUCGGGAGGUAAGCUUCUCCCAAAGCUAAAUAUAUGCAAGAGACCGAUAGCGAACAAGUACCGUGAGGGAAAGAUGAAAAGAACUUUGAAAAGAGAGUGAUAAUAGUCCUUGAAACUGCCAAAAGGACAAGCGAUUACGGCUGUUGUUGCGCCAUCUACACCCUUUUUGCGAGGUGACCUUUCACAGCGCUCAGAGCCCUCAAAGCCUGAGUUUGUGGAAGUCGAUCUUCGCGAGAAGAUGCGCGUGGAUGUGUGCCGGUCAUCGACAAUCUCAAUUUUGUGGAGCAUUUUUGGACGGUAGUCCUCAACUUCGGUUGACGGAAACCUAUAGCCAAGUUUCGAAGCAAGAGAGGGAUUGGAAGGCACUUAAAUGGGCCAAGGAUGUGUCUGAUUCAGAUCUUUAGUGUGUCAAUCGGCCUCUCACACCUUCGGGUGGGUCUGGUACGAGGAUACGCUAGGUGUGUGUCUCUAACAUUCUUUAUGAUGACAUAUACGGCUUUAAUCGUCCCGUCUUGAAACACGGACCAAGGAGUCUAACAUAUGUGCGAGUGUUCGGGUUGCAAACCCAAACGCGUAAUGAAAGUAAAGGAAGAGCUUGCUCUUCUUAGGUAGGAACCUUGGUGAAAUACCCAAGAGGCACUAUCGACCGAUCUGGAUUUUUUUUUGAAGGAUUCGAGUUUGAGCAUAUCUGUUAGGACCCGAAAGACGGUGAACUAUGCCUGGGUAGGGUGAAGCCAGAGGAAACUCUGGUGGAGGCUCGAAGCGAUACUGACGUGCAAAUCGUUCGUCAAAUCUGGGUAUAGGGGCGAAAGACUAAUCGAACCGUCUAGUAGCUGGUUCCCUC